UGGGGAAUUUUGCACAAUGGGGGGAACCUUGAUGCAGCGACGCCGCGUGAGGGAUGGAGGCCUUCGGGUUGUGAACCUCUUUCGCUCGUGUGCAAGCCGCUAUUUGGGUAGUGGUGAGUGUAGCGGGUAAAGAAGCGCCGGCUAACUACGUGCCAGCAGCCGCGGUAAUACGUAGGGCGCGAGCGUUGUCCGGAUUUAUUGGGCGUAAAGGGCUUGUAGGCGGUUUGUCGCGCCUGUCGUGUAAUCCUCUGGCUUAACUGGGGGUGUGCGGUGGGUACGGGCAAGCUUGAGUGCGGUAGGGGAGAUUGGAAUUCCUGGUGUAGCGGUGGAAUGCGCAGAUAUCAGGAGGAACCCCGGUGGCGAAGGCGGGUCUCUGGGCCGUUACUGACGCUGAGGAGCGAAAGCGUGGGGAGCGAACAGG
RNAcentral lists this ribosomal RNA (421 nucleotides) under Fusobacteriota bacterium. RNAcentral's name for it is "Fusobacteria bacterium partial 16S ribosomal RNA". It matches the Rfam family "Bacterial small subunit ribosomal RNA", at positions 355 to 776 of the family's 1533-position model. Lineage: Bacteria; Fusobacteriati; Fusobacteriota. The record is from RNAcentral.